CGAGCAUGCGCAGCGGCAUC
Molecule: unclassified non-coding RNA, 20 nt
Filed under: Chlamydomonas reinhardtii
Lineage: Eukaryota; Viridiplantae; Chlorophyta; Chlorophyceae; Chlamydomonadales; Chlamydomonadaceae
Description: small RNA Cre_1204
Source: RNAcentral